This 492-nucleotide ribosomal RNA is filed under the name uncultured bacterium. RNAcentral describes it as "partial 16S ribosomal RNA". It matches the Rfam family "Bacterial small subunit ribosomal RNA", at positions 29 to 507 of the family's 1533-position model. The record is from RNAcentral.
AGUGAACGCUGGCGGUAGGCCUAACACAUGCAAGUCGAACGGCAGCACAGUAAGAGCUUGCUCUUACGGGUGGCGAGUGGCGGACGGGUGAGGAAUACAUCGGAAGCUACUUUUUCGUGGGGGAUAACGUAGGGAAACUUACGCUAAUACCGCAUACGACCUACGGGUGAAAGCAGGGGAUCUUCGGACCUUGCGCGAUUGAAUGAGCCGAUGUCGGAUUAGCUAGUUGGCGGGGUAAAGGCCCACCAAGGCGACGAUCCGUAGCUGGUCUGAGAGGAUGAUCAGCCACACUGGAACUGAGACACGGUCCAGACUCCUACGGGAGGCAGCAGUGGGGAAUAUUGGACAAUGGGCGCAAGCCUGAUCCAGCCAUACCGCGUGGGUGAAGAAGGCCUUCGGGUUGUAAAGCCCUUUUGUUGGGAAAGAAAAGCAGCAGGUUAAUACCCCGCUGUUCUGACGGUACCCAAAGAAUAAGCACCGGCUAACUUCGUG